Panicum virgatum (switchgrass) is the source of this 1706-nucleotide RNA transcript. It is a transcript of the gene named actin-related protein 2/3 complex subunit 1B-like, with no coding region annotated. The record is from RefSeq and is a predicted model, not a curated record. The transcript is spliced from 14 exons. Lineage: Eukaryota; Viridiplantae; Streptophyta; Magnoliopsida; Poales; Poaceae.
CUCUGCCUUCCCUGCGUCGACCAUUUCGUCCCAGCCCCGAGCUCCCCUCUCGCCUUUCCGCUGGCCUCGCGUCCCCGAUGGCGGCGACGGCGGCGGUGGCGAUCCACCAGUUCGCCGAGUGCAUCACCUGCCACGCCUGGAGCCCCGACCAGUCGAUGAUUGCCUUUUGUCCAAACAACAAUGAAGUGCAUAUUUAUAAGUUUUUCACAGACAAGUGGGAGAAACUUCAUGUUCUGUCAAAGCAUGAUCAAAUAGUUUCGGGAAUAGAUUGGAGUAGAUCAUCCAACAAAAUUGUAACAGUUUCACAUGAUAGAAAUUCGUAAGUACACGUCAAACUGCAGAUUCCUAGAAGAUGUGUCUUUCUUCUUAUUGAAACAGUUAAUCAAUGCAUUUUCCCUUUUCCCUUGUACUGUCUGCAGAUAUGUUUGGACACAAGAAGGAUCUGAUUGGAUACCUACCCUUGUUAUUCUAAAGUUAAACCGUGCAGCUUUAUGUGUUCAAUGGAGCCCGAAAGAAAACAAGUUCGCCGUGGGAAGUGGUGCCAAAUCUGUGUGUAUUUGCUACUAUGAACAAGAAAACAACUGGUGGAUUAGCAAGGUUAUCAGGAAAAGGCAUGAAUCUUCUGUCACUAGUCUAGCAUGGCAUCCAAACAAUAUAUACCUUGCAACAACGUCUACUGAUGGUAAAUGCAGAGUAUUCUCUACUUUUAUCAAGGGUGUGGAUACAAGGGGAUCACAAUCAAGCACUUCAACUGAUUCAAAAUUUGGAGAGCAAAUUGCUCAACUUGAUCUCUCAUCUACCUGGGUAUUUGGUGUAAGGUGGUCAGCUAGUGGAAAAACAUUGGCAUAUGCAGGGCACAACUCCAUGAUUUAUUUCGUUGAUGAAGUUGAAUCGGCUCCUGCUGCACAAAAUUUGGCGCUGCGUGAUCUGCCUCUCCGUGAUGUGGGUUCUUUUUGUCUCUGAGCGCACGGUAAUUGGUGUCGGAUUUGACUGCAAUCCUAUGAUCUUUGCUGCUGAUGAGACUGGACUUUGGAGUUUUGUAAGAUUCUUGGAUGAGAGGAAAGUUACUCCAUCAACUUCAAAAGCCUCGCAGCUCUCUGAAGCCCUUGGAAAGCUAUAUGGCCAAUCAAAGCAAGGGACUAGUAGCGACUCCGUUGAACCAUCAAAGCCUCGUGGUGGUGCCCAUGAGAAUUGCAUAACGUGCAUCGUACCGUUGACAAAAGGACGUGAUGGUACUAUAAAACGAUUCAGCACGUCAGGAUUGGAUGGUAAGAUUGUGGUGUGGGAUUUGGAAAACCAUAUGACGAUUGCAAAAUAGCUCAAAGGAAGGUUUCAUAUCAAUCAAAUUGAAUGGACUUGUGCCGUUACCCAUCGUAAUCAGGGACCAUUCUUGGCAGCGGGUCCUGCAGGUUUUCAAGAUCCAGGGCCAGCCAGGUAGAUUGCUUAUUCUGUUGUACCUGUACACAAAAAAAAAACAUUUCUUUAGCGUAGGAGCAGCUUGCAUCUAUCAGGUAGCAUCAGUUUUGGCGAGUAAUUUUGUCUUUUGAAUCCCAUAUAUUGUGUAACCUGUAUAAUUUUAGCUAGGUAGGCAAUGACUUGAUUCGGCGUUUUCCAGUGUUGUUUAUUUCAGUGCCCCGUGUAAAAUAACCACACGUGGAAUUUAUCUGCGGAUGCUUUACUGGUACUUGUGGACAUCUUGUUUGUUC